This 496-nucleotide ribosomal RNA is filed under the name uncultured bacterium. Its description in RNAcentral is "partial 16S ribosomal RNA". It matches the Rfam family "Bacterial small subunit ribosomal RNA", at positions 29 to 507 of the family's 1533-position model. The record is from RNAcentral.
AUGAACGCUGGCGGCGUGCCUAAACCCUUCAAUUCCGCGAACCAAUGAGGAACUUUCUUCCCCUACCUUUGGGGCCGACGGGUGAGUUAACCGUGGGUAACCUUCCCUUUAAACUGGGGUUACUUCCGGAAAACCGAGCUAAUACCCGAUAAUAUAAUGAACCCCCUUGUUCCAUUGUGAAAGUCGGUUUUUCUGUUCAUUAAUGAUGGGAUCCCGGCCGAAUUAGCUAGUUGGUAAGGUAACGGCUUACCAAGGCAACGAUGCGUAGCCGACCUGAGAGGGUGAUCGGCCACACUGGAACUGAGACACGGUCCAGACUCCUACGGGAGGCAGCAGUAGGGAAUCUUCCGCAAUGGGCGAAAGCCUGACGGAGCAACGCCGCGUGAGUGAUGAAGGUCUUCGGAUCGUAAAACUCUGUUAUUAGGGAAGAACAAAUGUGUAAGUAACUAUGCACGUCUUGACGGUACCUAAUCAGAAAGCCACGGCUAACUACGUG